GCGGGGUAAAGGCCCACCAAGGCAACGAUGGGUAGCCGGCCUGAGAGGGUGAUCGGCCACAUUGGGACUGAGAUACGGCCCAGACUCCUACGGGAGGCAGCAGUAGGGAAUUUUGCGCAAUGGACGAAAGUCUGACGCAGCAACACCGUGUGAGGGAUGAAGCAUUUCGGUGUGUAAACCUCUGUCGAUGAUGAAUAAUGUUUCGGGGAGUGGAAAGCCUCGGAAUUGAAGGUAAUCAUGAAGGAAGCACCGGCUAACUCUGUGCCAGCAGCCGCGGUAAUACAGGGGGUGCAAGCGUUGUUCGGAAUCACUGGGCGUAAAGGGAGCGUAGGCGGAACUACAAGACAGAGGUUAAAUCUCCGGGCUCAACCUGGAACUUGCCUUUGUGACUGUGGUUCUUGAGUAUGGUAGAGGUUGGCGGAAUUUCCGGUGUAGCGGUGGAAUGCGUAGAGAUCGGAAAGAACACCAGAGGCGAAGGCGGCCAACUGGACCAAUACUGACGCUGAGGCUCGAAAGCGUGGGGAGCAAACAGGAUUAGAUACCCUGGUAGUCCACGCUGUAAACGAUGAACACUAGAUGUCGGGAGGGGUUCCUUCCGGUGUCGUCGCUAACGCAGUAAGUGUUCCGCCUGGGG
This 634-nucleotide ribosomal RNA is filed under the name uncultured soil bacterium. Its description in RNAcentral is "bacterial SSU rRNA". It matches the Rfam family "Bacterial small subunit ribosomal RNA", at positions 252 to 878 of the family's 1533-position model. The record is from RNAcentral.